UCGAGCGGAGAUGAGGUGCUUGCACCUUAUCUUAGCGGCGGACGGGUGAGUAAUGCUUAGGAAUCUGCCUAUUAGUGGGGGACAACAUUCCGAAAGGGAUGCUAAUACCGCAUACGUCCUACGGGAGAAAGCAGGGGAUCUUCGGACCUUGCGCUAAUAGAUGAGCCUAAGUCGGAUUAGCUAGUUGGUGGGGUAAAGGCCUACCAAGGCGACGAUCUGUAGCGGGUCUGAGAGGAUGAUCCGCCACACUGGGACUGAGACACGGCCCAGACUCCUACGGGAGGCAGCAGUGGGGAAUAUUGGACAAUGGGGGGAACCCUGAUCCAGCCAUGCCGCGUGUGUGAAGAAGGCCUUAUGGUUGUAAAGCACUUUAAGCGAGGAGGAGGCUACUGAGACUAAUACUCUUGGAUAGUGGACGUUACUCGCAGAAUAAGCACCGGCUAACUCUGUGCCAGCAGCCGCGGUAAU
RNAcentral lists this ribosomal RNA (468 nucleotides) under uncultured bacterium. Its description in RNAcentral is "bacterial SSU rRNA". It matches the Rfam family "Bacterial small subunit ribosomal RNA", at positions 62 to 524 of the family's 1533-position model. The record is from RNAcentral.